This 257-nucleotide ribosomal RNA is filed under the name uncultured prokaryote. RNAcentral's name for it is "partial 16S ribosomal RNA". It matches the Rfam family "Bacterial small subunit ribosomal RNA", at positions 524 to 780 of the family's 1533-position model. The record is from RNAcentral.
UACGGAGGAUGCGAGCGUUAUCCGGAUUUAUUGGGUUUAAAGGGUCCGUAGGCGGCUUUUUAAGUCAGCGGUGAAAUUUUGCAGCUUAACUGUAACAGUGCCGUUGAUACUGGGGAGCUAGGAUUUGGUUGCUGUGGGUGGAAUGUGUGGUGUAGCGGUGAAGUGCUUAGAGAUCACACAGAAUAUCGAUUGCGAAGGCAGCUCACAAAGCCAAGAUUGACGCUGAGGCACGAAAGUGUGGAGAUCAAACAGGAUUA